CAAACAUGAAGUUUACAAGCACCCAGCUUGCAAAAAACCACAGUUUUUGAGGCUUAUCGUGUGCACGUGUUGCUUAGCACGAGAUUAAGGUAACAUAACGGUCGGUCACAGCUGGCCCGGCGAGGCAAUCAGUUGUGUCCAAUAAGAAGAGAGAGCGCCUCGCUUUCUCUUAUUUGCCCCAGGUGCUGUUGAUGUAGGGUACUUGUUUCCCACUACAAAGUGCAAGCUGUGGAGUAAGGAGCAGUGAAUGUUCUUUCAUUUGAGUGCCAGCAUGGAUGGAGUUGCACGGAGUUCGGAUUUGGCGUGGGAAAAUUUGUCUUCUAUCCUAUCCACACAGUGCCCAGAAAAGAUGCCAAAUGGCUUUGGAGUAAGGGACUUAUAUAGUCUUCUGGCUGUUUUAGCCCUACUGUAGACCUUCUACAGGUAAUUGGCAUUCUCCUCAAGUCUCUCUGUAUUUAUGUUCACGCUCCCCAAACAAGCUUAUUUAGGUAGUCUUGGCUGUUGUUUGUAAGUACAAGCAUGGGUUUGUUUGUUUGUUUUCCCAGUAAUGGCCCAGAAUCUGCUGUGAAACCCCUAAAUGUCAGACAUGGACACAAGUGUGGACUGAAGUCUUCCAUCUUCUGAUUCUAGCUGAGUAAAAACAUCAUCUGUAUAAAGGUCCAGGAUGUUUCACUUUCACUACACUGUCAGGACAGUAGCAGUAAAUUGAGUCAUUAAGCUUAUAUGUGUCCAUGCUGCUCUCAACAGCUCUGAUCACACUGCUGUGCACUCUAAGCGAUCUCACAUGCUCAAUAUAUAAGGAUGACAUGGUUUUCUCAGACCUCUGCUGAACCUGUCAUCUGUGUUUAUGGAUAAAUAGUCUGUAACACAGCUCACGCAUGAGCAUUUUGCUUCUUCAUGUAAAAGGAGCCCGGGAAAUGAUGUGUGAAUGACGUACUUUGUAGACAAGCAAGAUUUUUCUUUAUUCACCUUUUAGAUCUGCAUGAUUAAAAGAAGUCCUAAAGUAAUAAUGGUUUACAGAGCAGAUACAAGAAGGAAUUUGGCAGAGAUCAAAACAUCUCCCAGAUAUGAACGUAUCUAAAAUGAAACUUUGCAUGGAAUUGUAUGAAAACAAUAAGUUAAAAUGGCCAGUGAAAUCAGGAAUGCCGCAGAAAAAGCUGGACUUGAGAAACAAUCAAGAAGUGAGAUAACUCAGUUCCUAAGAAUGUUCUGAAGCAGUGAUUGGCAACAACAACCACCAAAGGCCAAAUGCUUGAAUAUCAGCUUGCCUGUUCUCCCUUCACAGAACGGCACUCGGUAAUUUGUUCUGAGAACGUUUUUGAAGGAGUGUAUCCAACAUUUCCAAUUACAUCUUGAAAGUUUGGCACAAAGAGAAAAGAUGUGAGAAAGAUCUUAAAAAUGGAGAAAUGAAGAAAUAUUUCAGGCUGCUGCUUUUUUCUCAUUUGACUUCUGGAUAAUUUGAUCUGCUAGAGGUAUUAAGAGGCUUUAUUUAAUAGCUGUGAUCAUCAGAUAACAGUUUUGGGGGGGGAAAAAAAAGGAAAAAUAGGACUGAGAAGCUGCUGUUUGCUAUCUAGUAUAUGAAUGAGCUCUCACAAGCACAUGUAUCUCAACUGAACAGUACAGUUUUAAGCAAAUGAUAAGAGUGGGCAGGAAAGACAUUCACUGCUAUCAUAAUCAAGCACUUCAUAAAGUAAUUAAUUAGAUAAAACCAUUACCAUAGGCAAAUACUAAUGUUAAAUAAGUAUUCACAUACUGUGUUCAUUCAUACACGAGCUGGGUGUUAUAUCUUGUUAUACUGUCAUUCAAGUCCCUUGUAAUCUGUGUAAUUGAUUCCCGGAUUUCAGUGGCCACUGCAAUACGUUGUGAAAGGGCAAAUGUAUUUAUUCUUGAUCUUAUCUGGCAGAAGAGUGAAGACAUGAUAGGAGUCUUAAGCAAGAAACAGCUGCCAGAAUGGAAGUAAUAAUUUGUUCUCUACCUUUCUUUAUUGAGGAAACAGACUCUUGAGUUUAAAUUUCAUAAAGGAGAUUUGGUUUUGAUAUCUGGAAGACAACUUUGUAGUAGGAAGGAGUCUGACUCCUGGGAGUUUUGUCCACCUCUGUCUCCAGCCAUUGCCAGGAAUAGUUUAAGAUUAGCCCAUCCUGCCAUGGAACAAGAGAUAGGGCUAGAUAACUACCAGCAAAUGGCCAAUGUAAUUUUCGUCUCUGAAUUUCCUCAGGUGCAACAUUUUGCACUACCAUUCAAUAACAAUAUUAUUGAAAUGAUAUGAAAUGUGCAAUGAAAACAGAAGAAUGUGUGUUAUGCCCUCUGCUCACUUCUGAGCAGAUAAUGUCUUCUAGCACCAUGACAGUAGGAACUUGAGAUGAGCCUUAGUCCCCAUAAGGUGUGUGCAGUUACAGCUUAGAGAUGGUGAAGUGUGAGGGUGUCUGAGUCUUGGCUAUCCAUGAGAACAGAACCUUAUGCUAACCCUCCGGUGGCAUGUUAUUCAAAGGAGAAGCUUUACCAAGCCCUCAGAGAAUCUUAUUUUUAAGAAGUGCACUUAAAGCUCCUUUUUGAAGCAUGCAUUAGACAAAGUGCAUCUGAAUGGGUACUGUGAAACCUGCAAUCUGAAAAAGCCUCAAUAACAAAUCAAAUCCUUUCUGGCAUAGUUUUCUGUACUGGCAUAUGUUUAUUCUCUCUGGGAGGUCUCCUCUUCAGCACUUCAUGCUUGGAAUGUAUGAGCAAAUAGAAUUUUCUUUUCAGAAGUGAAGGAAGUUCUGCUGGAAAGUUUCCUCUAGAAGAUAUAUUUUUUUUAAGUGUUUAAAAGCUAAAGACUUUUCUUUCUCCCUUGGAAGUGCCUGUUUUCUUGAAAGCCUUAAUCUUAAAGAAUUGAGACAGUACUUUGUAGAACUUAAAGUCUGAGUAUAUUGCAUUUUCCUUUCAUCUUUAUGCCAGGGCUUCCCAUCCAGAUCUUUUCUUCUGUAUUGUUUGUUAUGGCAGGGUACCCAUAGUACAUUUGGUAAGCAAGCAGCAAAGGAAAUGGUGGUGAAUUAAGGGAAAUAUAAACUCACAGAAUAGUCUGGGAGAAUGAGAGCUCAAAGCAAGAAAACAUUUCUGCUGUGCGCUGAAUGCUAUAGAGUGAAAAAGAUUUAAUGGAACUCUGGAUCUAGAAGUGUGGGUAUGGUACAGUACUUCACUAGAACAAAUUAAAACCUGGCUAAUACGUUUUUCUAGUGCAAGAAGCCCCUCAAGAAUUAUUUUCCUGUGCAGCUUAUACAGCAAAAUUGGUUAGUGCUUAUUUAGGGGUAGCGACCAAUUUGCAAGACAGACCCAGCUUAUACCUCAAGAUCAUGGAAGAUAAUUCAAAACUUGAACAUUUUAGUAUUAACUUAAGAUACGAAUAGAUUUAUUUAUUUGCAGUGGAGUUGAAUAAAUAUUGACAAAAAUAUCUCCCA
This is a long non-coding RNA of Coturnix japonica (Japanese quail), 3431 nucleotides long. The record is from Ensembl. NCBI's taxonomy places the organism in Eukaryota, Metazoa, Chordata, Aves, Galliformes, Phasianidae.